Long non-coding RNA from Onychostoma macrolepis, 865 nucleotides. RefSeq lists it as uncharacterized. NCBI's taxonomy places the organism in Eukaryota, Metazoa, Chordata, Actinopteri, Cypriniformes, Cyprinidae. The transcript has 3 exons. The record is from RefSeq and is a predicted model, not a curated record.
UUUAAACACUGGUCAGGGAUCAUAAACAGAAAAUUUGGACUAAACCACGUGAUAUGUAUAGAUUAGAUCUCCUUAUGAAGUAUCAAAGUGGUAGUUGCGUGGACCAUCAAUCAAGGGACAGAAAUCUUAUAUUCUAUUACAAUAUCUUCCGUUGUGUUUUAAAGAUGACGAAAGUCUUGGUUGAGUAAACGAUGGAAUUUUGAUUUCUGAACUAACCCUGUAAUAAAAGAAUGUGGCCAUAUGCAUCUUGUGCUUGUUCGCUUGUUCAUCACCCAAGAUGCAUGCUAAUGCCAGGUGUGAACAGAGCCACUGUGUGACUACACAGUAAGUUUAGCAGAAUGGUUCCUGAGAGAGAGAUUGUCAUUAUUUUUUAUUUAUUUAUUUUCCAGGAAACCAAGUUCCUGGCUUUUCCCAAGACCUUCAAGGACACGAUUGACCUCGGAAUCAGCUGUAAAGGAGGAUGAAACCGAUGUUCAAGAAUGGGACAGCGAUAUUGCAUCAAUGUGUCUCCUUCAUUUGAUUCCACCAUCACCACAAGGCUGCAAGGGACCUGGAGAAAUGUCCUCCUAUCAAGCUGAAAAACAUCUUCAAAAAGGCACUAACCAGAAGAACACCUUGUAGAGACCACACAGCCAUACCUGCUCGCUGAUGGGACAACGAGGAACCGUGUUCAUGGAUGCUACACAACUGUCGACAAGUAUCUUGCUGCAGUCUUGUUCAAAUCUACCUGUCAUAUUUGUUAAUGUCUAGGUAAAUUUGAUGAUUUUAUGUGUUUUAUCAACUGUUUUGUUUCCGUGCAACACUUAAUGAAUGUGACUGACUAAUUAACCUCUACACAUCUGGUAUAUGCUUUAAAGUUGCCACU